GAACGGUGUCUUCGGACACAGUGGCGGACGGGUGAGUAACGCGUGAGAAUCUGCCAUCAGGUCUGGGACAACCACUGGAAACGGUGGCUAAUACCGGAUGUGCCCUUCGGGGUGAAAGGUUAACUGCCUGUUGAUGAGCUCGCGUCUGAUUAGCUAGUUGGUGUGGUAAGAGCGCACCAAGGCGACGAUCAGUAGCUGGUCUGAGAGGACGAUCAGCCACACUGGGACUGAGACACGGCCCAGACUCCUACGGGAGGCAGCAGUGGGGAAUUUUCCGCAAUGGGCGAAAGCCUGACGGAGCAAUACCGCGUGAGGGAGGAAGGCUCUUGGGUCGUAAACCUCUUUUCUCAGGGAAGAACAAAAUGACGGUACCUGAGGAAUAAGCAUCGGCUAACUCCGUGCCAGCAGCCGCGGUAAUACGGAGGAUGCAAGCGUUAUCCGGAAUGAUUGGGCGUAAAGCGUCCGCAGGUGGCUAUGUAAGUCUGCUGUUAAAGAGUCUAGCUCAACUAGAUAAGAGCAGUGGAAACUACAAGGCUAGAGUGCGUUCGGGGCAGAGGGAAUUCCUGGUGUAGCGGUGAAAUGCGUAGAGAUCAGGAAGAACACCAGUGGCGAAGGCGCUCUGCUAGGCCGCAACUGACACUGAGGGACGAAAGCUAGGGGAGCGAAUGGGAUUAGAUACCCCAGUAGUCCUAGCCGUAAACGAUGGAUACUAGGCGUGGCUUGUAUCGACCCGAGCCGUGCCGUAGCUAACGCGUUAAGUAUCCCGCCUGGGGAGUACGCCGGCAACGGUGAAACUCAAAGGAAUUGACGGGGGCCCG
RNAcentral lists this ribosomal RNA (818 nucleotides) under Nostoc sp. 'Sticta fuliginosa cyanobiont' 53_Rikkinen_980W1A. RNAcentral's name for it is "bacterial SSU rRNA". It matches the Rfam family "Bacterial small subunit ribosomal RNA", at positions 64 to 923 of the family's 1533-position model. Lineage: Bacteria; Bacillati; Cyanobacteriota; Cyanophyceae; Nostocales; Nostocaceae. The record is from RNAcentral.